GCUGUUUUAGUUUAUUUUUGUAGAAUUUUAAUUUUGUAAUUUAGAGGAUUGGACAGUG
This 58-nucleotide transfer RNA is filed under the name Oxyuris equi. RNAcentral describes it as "tRNA-Thr". Lineage: Eukaryota; Metazoa; Nematoda; Chromadorea; Rhabditida; Oxyuridae. The record is from RNAcentral.